GCUGUUUCCAUCUUCAUCUGUUCAAAACAGUCAUGGGGAACAUCUGGGUCAGGAUCUAUGGGAGGGGCAUCUUCACAUAUUUCUGUGUGAUAUUGUGGGUAACCAGUAGUCUUACAAUUCACAGUUCGUUUGGUAACACCUUCUGUGGAGAGUUGGUCUUGAUCUGUUGCACUCCAUGCUUUGGCUAAUGGACCAAGUUCCUUCCAUGAGAUAUUUGGAGAUUUAGUAAUAGAGACAUGAGGAACUGCCAUCUCCCAAUGGUGGUACAUAUGAGUCACUUCUGUGGGUAAUUGAACUAACACUACAGUGUUACCUUUUGUAUCACAGUAUAUGUCUGUCAAGGUGAGGCGUACUUCAAUCAAUUGAAACAGUUCUUCUUCAUACUGAGGGUCAGGCCCCGGAACGUCUCUGAACCACAAAGUACAAUGCCAUAGAGGAGAUGGCUGUUCAUCGUGUGGUACUGUGGGCAUAUGGACAUCCAGAUCAAGGAAGGCAUCAGGAUCUAUGUUCAGACCGUACCAAUAGUGUGGUACUCCCCCCUUGGGAAGCGGCAGAAGAGUGGCAGGAUUCAAAGUGUAACAUCGCUGUAAGGAGACAUUAUCGGGUAACAUUAAAGUUGUUUGGAGACGAAGAUGCCUUUGAGUAGAGAGAUGUUUAGGUUGAACUUGAUUCAAUAUUGCAGAAAGAUCAUGGGGGGCGAGAAUGGUUAGCUUGUGACCAAGGAUUAUGUCACACGUCUUGUCCAGUAGAGCACUUGCCGCAAAUACAGCCCGAAGACAGGAGGGUCCUCCCCUGGCCACAGGAUCCAACUGACAGGAGUAAUACCCUAUUGGACGUUGACGAGACCCAUGAGACUGAGUGAGAACACCAGAUGCAUGUCCCAUUUUUUCGUAGACAAAGAGCUUGAAGGGCUUCUCGUAAUUGGGAAGGCCCAGAGCAGGAGCAGUAACAACAGCACGUCGUAAUGCGAAGAAGCUGGUAAGGGCUUCAGGAGAUAAAUCAAACGGUUCAGUUUUGAGGGCAUCGUAGAGUGGCUGCAUCAGUGUAGAGGCUUCAGGAAUCCAGGCUCUACAGUAAGAGAUAAGACCUAGGAAGGCAUGGAGGGACUUGUGAGCCGAUGGAGGGCAGAGUGAUGUGAUACCCCGCACUCUGUCUCUAGUAAGGUGCCGGGUGCCAUGAGAAAGACAAUGCCCCAAAAAUAUCACCGAGGGUCGGCACCACUGCAAUUUCUUCUUAGAUGCUUUACAACCUUGGGCGGCCAGGAAACAGAGGAAAUCUUCAGAGACACAUUCUGCAGUCGGGAGAUCGUCAGCACAGAGAAGGAGAUCGUCCACGUAUUGCAGGAGGACCACCUCUGUGUGAGAUUUCUGCCAUGGUUCCAGGAUGUAUGCCAUGGCUCUUGCAAACUGGCUUGGGGAAUUUUGUGCUCCCUGGGGCAUGACUGUCCAGGUAUAUUGUUGGCGGUCAUGGGUAAAUGCAAACAGGUAUUGACAAGAGGGAUGCAAAGGCACGCUGAUGAAGGCAUUGGCCAAAUCCACCACCGUGAAGAAUUUAGCUGAAGGAGGGACCUGGGAUAGAAGAGUAUGAGGAUUUGGAACAAUGGGAGUUUCCAAGACGGUAACAUCAUUGACUGCUCUGAGGUCUUGAACCAUCCUGUACUUGUCCGGUUCGCCCUUUUCAGUCUUUUUCUUAACUGGAAACAAAGGAGUGUUACAAGGCGACACACAUUUAAUCAGUGCACCCGCAGCCAGCAGAGUUUCAACCUGUUUGGAGAUAGAGAGGGCCUGAGCAGGUGUCAAUGGAUAUUGUGGUCUUCUGGGCGGACUUGCUCCUUGGAGCAACUGCACAAAUAUCGGAGUGACUUUAAGUCGUCCAAUAUCAUCGGGACCAGUAGACCACAGUUGCACAGGAACUCUGUCAAGUGCACUGGGGGAAUUGUCUAGGACCCUUGCAUUCCCAUGGGGUGAUUCCAUGUGGAGUAGGAGGGGUAAAGAACAAAGGGCUGAGGUAUCUUCACUGGAGAGAGGGGUCAAUAACUGAACCUUGCCAUCUGGAGUAAAGGAGAUGGAGGCCUGCAAGCGGGACAGAACAUCAGCUCCCAACAAAUUAAGAGGACAAGAG
This 2121-nucleotide long non-coding RNA is filed under the name Pelobates cultripes (western spadefoot toad). Lineage: Eukaryota; Metazoa; Chordata; Amphibia; Anura; Pelobatidae. The record is from RNAcentral.